UACGUAGGGUGCGAGCGUUAAUCGGAAUUACUGGGCGUAAAGGGUACGUAGGCGGUUUUAUAAGACAGAUGUGAAAUUCCCGGGCUUAACCUGGGGACUGCGUUUGUGACUGUAAGACUAGAGUGCAGCAGAGGGAGGUAGAAUUCCACGUGUAGCAGUGAAAUGCGUAGAUAUGUGGAGGAAUCUCGAUGGCGAAGGCAGCCUCCUGGGUUGGCACUGACGCUGAAGUACGAAAGCGUGGGGAGCAAACAGG
This 253-nucleotide unclassified non-coding RNA is filed under the name uncultured Gammaproteobacteria bacterium. Its description in RNAcentral is "contains 16S-23S intergenic spacer region". It matches the Rfam family "Bacterial small subunit ribosomal RNA", at positions 524 to 776 of the family's 1533-position model. Lineage: Bacteria; Pseudomonadati; Pseudomonadota; Gammaproteobacteria. The record is from RNAcentral.